RNAcentral lists this ribosomal RNA (468 nucleotides) under uncultured bacterium. RNAcentral describes it as "partial 16S ribosomal RNA". It matches the Rfam family "Bacterial small subunit ribosomal RNA", at positions 28 to 507 of the family's 1533-position model. The record is from RNAcentral.
GACGAACGCUGGCGGCGUGCUUAACACAUGCAAGUCGAACGGAAAGGCCCUGCUUUUGUGGGGUGCUCGAGUGGCGAACGGGUGAGUAACACGUGAGUAACCUGCCCUCGACUUUGGGAUAACUUCAGGAAACUGGGGCUAAUACCGGAUAGGAGCUCCUGCUGCAUGGUGGGGGUUGGAAAGUUUCGGCGGUCGGGGAUGGACUCGCGGCUUAUCAGCUUGUUGGUGGGGUAGUGGCUUACCAAGGCUUUGACGGGUAGCUGGCCUGAGAGGGUGACCGGCCAAAUUGGGACUGAGAUACGGCCCAGACUCCUGAGGGAGGCAGCAGUGGGGAAUAUUGCACGAUGGGCGGAAGCCUGAUGCAGCAACGCCGCGUGCUGGAUGACGGCCUUCGGGUUGUAGACCGCUUUCGCCUGUGACGAAGCGUGAGUGACGGUAAUGGAUAAAGAAGCACCGGCUAACUACGUG